Molecule: long non-coding RNA, 215 nt
Filed under: Musa acuminata (dwarf banana)
Lineage: Eukaryota; Viridiplantae; Streptophyta; Magnoliopsida; Zingiberales; Musaceae
Description: long non-coding RNA (MACU_LNC004009)
Source: RNAcentral
AGGAGAUAGCUUCAUGGAAGAUCGGACCUUUAUGGAAGUUUGCUUAUAGGAUUGAAGACGAAGGAAAACCCAAUCACCCAUAGUAAAUUCUUGUUCACUUCGGUGUAUAUCAGCUUAUUGUUUCAUUCUUGCUUAUGCGGCUGUGAGGUUAUCCUUUAAAAGCUGAAUAAUCUUAUUUCUAUCCAUCAAUUCCUUGUCCACUUGAUCAACUUUAG